AGCCAGACUCCUACGGGAGGCAGCAGUGGGGAAUAUUGCACAAUGGGGGAAACCCUGAUGCAGCGACGCCGCGUGAGCGAUGAAGUAUUUCGGUAUGUAAAGCUCUAUCAGCAGGGAAGAAAAUGACGGUACCUGAGUAAGAAGCCCCGGCUAACUACGUGCCAGCAGCCGCGGUAAUACGUAGGGGGCAAGCGUUAUCCGGAUUUACUGGGUGUAAAGGGAGCGUAGACGGCGAUGCAAGCCAGAUGUGAAAGCCCGGGGCUCAACCCCGGGACUGCAUUUGGAACUGUGUGGCUGGAGUGUCGGAGAGGCAGGCGGAAUUCCUAGUGUAGCGGUGAAAUGCGUAGAUAUUAGGAGGAACACCAGUGGCGAAGGCGGCCUGCUGGACGAUGACUGACGUUGAGGCUCGAAAGCGUGGGGAGCAAACAGGAUUAGAUACCCUCGUACC
This 448-nucleotide ribosomal RNA is filed under the name uncultured bacterium. RNAcentral's name for it is "bacterial SSU rRNA". It matches the Rfam family "Bacterial small subunit ribosomal RNA", at positions 329 to 794 of the family's 1533-position model. The record is from RNAcentral.